AAGAAAUUAGUUAAUUAAUAACAUUAAUAUGUCAUAUUAAAAUUAUUAUUCCUCAUAAUAUUUCUUA
This 67-nucleotide transfer RNA is filed under the name Velarifictorus hemelytrus. Its description in RNAcentral is "tRNA-Asp". Lineage: Eukaryota; Metazoa; Arthropoda; Insecta; Orthoptera; Gryllidae. The record is from RNAcentral.